GCCGGGCAUGGUGGCGGGCGCCUGUAAUCCCAGCUACUCGGGAGGCUGAGGCAGAAGAAUUGCUUGGACUCAGGAGGCCGAGGUUGCAGUGAGCAAAGAUAGCGCUACUGCACUCUAGCCUGAGUGACAGAGCAAGACUCCAUCUCAA
This 148-nucleotide non-coding RNA is filed under the name Chlorocebus sabaeus (green monkey). The record is from Rfam by way of RNAcentral. Lineage: Eukaryota; Metazoa; Chordata; Mammalia; Primates; Cercopithecidae.